UAGGGAAUCUUCCACAAUGGACGCAAGUCUGAUGGAGCAACGCCGCGUGAGUGAAGAAGGCUUUCGGGUCGUAAAACUCUGUUAUUGAAGAAGAACGUGCGUGACAGUAACUGGUCAUGCAGUGACGGUAUUCAAUCAGAAAGUCACGGCUAACUACGUGCCAGCAGCCGCGGUAAUACGUAGGUGGCAAGCGUUGUCCGGAUUUAUUGGGCGUAAAGCGAGUGCAGGCGGUCUUUUAAGUCUGAUGUGAAAGCCUUCGGCUUAACCGAAGAAGGGCAUCGGAAACUGGGAGACUUGAGUGCAGAAGAGGA
This 311-nucleotide ribosomal RNA is filed under the name uncultured bacterium. RNAcentral's name for it is "partial 16S ribosomal RNA". It matches the Rfam family "Bacterial small subunit ribosomal RNA", at positions 355 to 658 of the family's 1533-position model. The record is from RNAcentral.